This 266-nucleotide long non-coding RNA is filed under the name Populus tremula. Its description in RNAcentral is "long non-coding RNA (PTRE_LNC001249)". Lineage: Eukaryota; Viridiplantae; Streptophyta; Magnoliopsida; Malpighiales; Salicaceae. The record is from RNAcentral.
CCAAGGUUCCUUGACGUCUCAGUAACCAACAAAGUAACAGCACAAACUGGUUAUAGUCACCCGUCCAUUUAGAGAUGGAACAUAUGUGACACUACAAGGACUGAACAAGUAAUCUAACCCUACCUUUUGAGAAAACUCCAUUCCUCCAGUCGAUCCUAAUAUAUAAGAAAGUAAGUUUGCUUACAAUGUCAACAGGUUAAUGCCACACCCAAUAUUGUCUAGCCCAGGGUUCAAUAGGCAUCUCAGUAAACCAACGAAGAAACAAU